GGAGUUUGGGCCGUGUCUCAGUCCCAAUGUGGCCGGUCACCCUCUCAGGUCGGCUACUGAUCGUCGCCUUGGUGGGCCGUUACCUCACCAACUAGCUAAUCAGACGCGGGACCAUCCUACACCACCGGAGUUUUUCACACUGUACCAUGCGAUACUGUGCGCUUAUGCGGUAUUAGCAGCCGUUUCCAACUGUUAUCCCCCUGUGUAGGGCAGGUUUCCCACGCGUUACUCACCCGUCCGCCACUCAGUCACAAACAACUUCAUCCCGAAGGAAUCUGUCGUAAGUGCUUCGUUCGACUUGCAUGUGUUAAGCACGCCGCCAGCGUUCAUC
Molecule: ribosomal RNA, 331 nt
Filed under: uncultured Lachnospiraceae bacterium
Lineage: Bacteria; Bacillati; Bacillota; Clostridia; Lachnospirales; Lachnospiraceae
Description: partial 16S ribosomal RNA
Source: RNAcentral